GAUGAAGAACGCAGCGAAAUGUGAUACGUAGUGUGAAUUGCAGAAUUCAGUGAAUCAUCGAAUCUUUGAACGCACAUUGCACCUCUCGGUAUUCCGGGAGGUAUGCCUGUUCGAGCGUCAUUUGUACCCUCAAGCUCUGCUUGGUGUUGGGUGUUUGUUCCGCCUCUGUGUGUGAACUCGCCUCAAAACAAUUGGCAGCCGGCGUACUUGUUUCGGAGCGCAGCACAUUUUGCGAUCCAGAUCAACGUACAGCGGCAUCCAAGAAGCCUUAUUUAACGCUCUUGACCUCGGACCAGGUAGGGAUACCCGCUGAACUUAAGCAUAUCAAUAAGCGGAGGA
Molecule: unclassified non-coding RNA, 339 nt
Filed under: soil metagenome
Description: partial contains 5.8S ribosomal RNA, internal transcribed spacer 2, and large subunit ribosomal RNA
Rfam family: 5.8S ribosomal RNA (bases 1-120)
Source: RNAcentral